AAAAAACUUGGUCCCAAUUUUUUUUACUUUUUUUCCUAUAAUGAUACAUGCAAAGGACAAUCCCUUAACCAGUGAGGUUAUUUUAACAAAAAAUUAAUUUAUUUAAAUAAAAAUGAUAUUAAGUGAAAGAUUUUUUCUAAAAUCAUAGACACCCACAACAGCAGUACUAAAAAUUAAGCAAUUAGUGAAAACUAGACUUAAUAAUAAGAAAAAGUAUUGGUAAAAAUACGUGCCAGCCACCGCGGUUAUACGUAAAAUACAAAAAGUAAAAGAAACAUCUUUAGUGACUAAACUAAUUUUUUUAUUAUAGUUAAUAAAACCAUAAAAUCAACAGUCAAAUGUAAAAACUUUAAGAAAGCCUAUAACGCAAAAGCAAUUAACUAAUAAAUUAAUCACGCAAGUAUAAAAACAAACCAGGAUUAGAGACCCUGCUAUGUUAUACUACAAACAAAAAGAAAGAACUACAAGCACAAAGCUUAAAACUUAAAGGACUUGGCGGUUUUUUAGAUCUUCCUAGAGGAGCCUGCCUCAUAAUUGACAACCCGCAAAAGACCUAACCUACAUUAGAAAAUAUAUAACAGCCUGUAUAUCAUCAUCGUCAGCUCACCUCCUCUUAAGAGAAAGUAAGCAUAAAGAUAAUUCUUCAAAACGUUAGAUCAAGAUGCAGCCAAUAAGUAGGAGAAUGGUGGGCUACAAUAUUCUACUGAAUAACGGAAUUUUUAUUUAAAUAUAAAAAAGAAGUAGGAUUUAGCAGUAAGAGGGAUAAAGAAAAGCCCACUGAAAAAGCCCUAAAAUACGUACACACCGCCCGUCACUCUCUUUAACUUAAAAAGAGAAAAGUCGUAACAAGGUAAGAGUAGGGGAACCUGCUCUUGGCAG
Molecule: non-coding RNA, 879 nt
Filed under: Comaster schlegelii
Lineage: Eukaryota; Metazoa; Echinodermata; Crinoidea; Comatulida; Comatulidae
Description: 12S ribosomal RNA
Rfam family: Microsporidia small subunit ribosomal RNA (bases 457-875)
Source: RNAcentral